UCCGGUUUAACACCGGCAGUCCCUCUAGAGAUCCGCUUGCGCGGCAACUAAAGGCGAGGGUUGCGCUCGUUGCGGGACUUAACCCAACAUCUCACGACACGAGCUGACGACAGCCAUGCAGCACCUGUACUAGUUGUACCCCGAAGGGCCUACCCUACUUUCAUAGGGAUAAUCCUAGCAUGUCAAGCCCAGGUAAGGUUCUGCGCGUUGCUUCGAAUUGAACCACAUGCUCCACCGCUUGUGUGAGCCCCCGUCAAUUCCUUUGAGUUUUAGCCUUGCGACCGUACUUCCCAGGCGGUCGACUUAGCACUUUUGCUUCGACCAUGACAACGUCAGAGCUGCCACGAUCAAGUCGACAUCGUUUACGGCCAGGACUA
RNAcentral lists this unclassified non-coding RNA (377 nucleotides) under uncultured Tepidisphaerales bacterium. RNAcentral's name for it is "contains 16S-23S intergenic spacer region". Lineage: Bacteria; Pseudomonadati; Planctomycetota; Phycisphaerae; Tepidisphaerales. The record is from RNAcentral.